Long non-coding RNA from Tachysurus fulvidraco (yellow catfish), 3341 nucleotides. RefSeq lists it as uncharacterized. The transcript has 3 exons. Lineage: Eukaryota; Metazoa; Chordata; Actinopteri; Siluriformes; Bagridae. The record is from RefSeq and is a predicted model, not a curated record.
UAAUAAUAAGCUUAUAAUGGAAAUCAGAAUGUUGGCUUCUACAAAGCCAACAUAACUAGAUUUGUAAAGAUCGUCAUGACAAACUUUGAUGUUGGCUUUGACGAUGCAAGUAUCGACCUUUUUGGAGGCAUGUGGACAUAAGGGUUAGUGUUACUUUUGGAGGCAAGUGGACAGAAAGCUAGGUUGCCAAAACAUUUGGAGGUAAGUGGAGACGAGCAUGUGACAUUGUAACAGGUCUAGCCUGUUACUAGUUGUUCUAUUCCUUACCUAUAGGGGGCAACCUUGAUGUUGAAUAUUUAUAAGGGGAUAGACUAGUAAAGGAAAAGAAAAUGGCUUCCACCCGAGUCUAGGUUUAUGUUGGCUUCAGUGAAAGGCCUCUUAAUGGGAAACAGUUGUUUCUAUUGCCAUUAAGGGCCUCUUGUGUCACCCCCAUUGCAUACUUAAAAGUAUAACAUGGACAAUGGAUUAAAAUGGUGACUGGAGAAUGCAGCUACCUUAUUUGAGGAGGUGGUGAUGGAUAUGCCGUAAAGCACUCAGAAGACAACACAAUACGGAUAAGCUUAACAAUUCCUUGCAAGAACCCUUUUGCUUUCGUCUUCAGUGUUGUGAGCCUCUUUAAAACUGGACAUCUACCCUAGAUAAGAGUGCUUUUGUUUUACAGUUGGAAUUUCUAAGAUAUGUUGUUCAAUGACUUGUGUCACAUUGUAAUGUGUACUGUGGUAUCAUAUACAAUGAGGGUAAAGUAAAUGAGAGUUCAUAUAAAUAACUCUAAGCAAAGAGAUCGUUUUCUGGCUGCCUUAUUUUAAUGAGUGGUCUGGAUCAUCACUUAUGUGAAGUCCCCCCCCCCCCCCAAUUCAGAUAUAUAGCUAGCUUUGAGUUAAGUUUGAUCAGAGAGGUUAUAACAUCAUCCGAAUACUCUUGAGGAAGUUCCACACAUUGGGCUGAGUGUUUUGAUAUGUCACAUGUCCAUGUUGUGCUAAUUAUUGAUUUUCACGUGACGUCAUGUGACAUGAUCAGAAUACAUAGGCAGUGAGGCAGUUUCCCUCAUUGUGCUGUGUGUUUUGAGAAUGUUGGCUUCUACAAAGCCAACAUAUUAAGCUUAUAACGGAAAUCAGAAUGUUGGCUUCUACAAAGCCAACAUAAUAAGCUUAUGUCGGAAAUCUACAAAGCCAACAUAAUAAUAAUAAGCUUAUAACGGAAAUCGGAAUGUUGGCUUCUACAAAGCCAACUUAACAAGAUCAGAAAUUUAUCUGAUGUAUUUUCUUAAAUAAGAGCUGAAUAUUUAAUGGGGUUGUCUAAAUUUUUUCACAUGACUGUAUAUACUGUAUGUGCACCAUAUAUGCGAUUGUUGUGGACAGACAGCGAGCACAUCGCAGCAAAUUGGGGAAGCAAAAGCAUGGCAAAAUCCCUGCAUCCCUUCAGAGAACAGCCAGAAACUCCUUACCCUUCAAGAGAGAGCAACUCAGUCGUGCUGGGUGUGGCAUUUCUAACCAGGAAAGGGGCUUAGGUAUGUGAAACAUGUGAUGUGUCUAUGCUGUGCUUUACAGAUUCUCCCGGGGGAAUGACUGAUGGACUGCCAGAUUUGGGUCAAUUCCACACUGCCUCUGCCUGGCUGAGAGCUGCUACCACUGCCCAAGAUACGCUAACGCAGCAGAUGGAGCAUGUAUUCAAGCACCUCCAGGAAGCAAGUUUGUAGCAGCAUUUCAUGACCCAAGAGCUGGCCCACAGUGUGCAUACCACAGAGCUAAAUGCAUUAAAGCAGCUUUCUUUGCUGCUGCCACUUCUCUCCCUGAGCCUGACUGAGCCCUCAGGACCCAGCUCACAAAAAUGACUGCAGAAGACGAAUUUCAGGCAUAUCUUCAUUCUUUUGAACGUGUCGCCCACCAAACAUUUUGUGACAAGAUGCAUUUUCAUCCUGAAAAACGAAUUCAUCAUCACCAAAUUUAUUUUCUGAAAAGUGUCAAAAUUUCAAUGUACACCUGUGCAUUGACUGUUGAGGUAAUGAUUGCCAUCGCCCCUGGUGCUUUACCUUACAUGCAAUCCCAUAUCAUAAAUGAGGAAAUUUGAUUGUUUUUGUUAGGCAGUUAUCUUUAUACAUUUCAUUAGAAUGGCACCAGACAAAGGUUCCAGCAUCAUCUCUUGGCCAAUGCUGAUUCAUGACUGAAUAUCACUUUCAUCCAAUCAUCUACACUCCAUGAUUUCUUCUCCUUAGCCCAAUGUAACCUUGUUUUCAUUCAGCCAGUUUCAAUUUUUUGUGCAUUUUCUGGUUUCAAGGCAUAUUGUUUUGAGUUUUCUAUCCUGCUUUGAUGUCUUCCUUGGUCUAUCUACGUUUGCCUUUUAUAAUCUUCCCAUUCACUUUAUACUUGCACCAUAUUUUAGACAGAGCUGACUGGGAGCAACCAACUUGUUUGGCCACACUUCGUGUUGAGAUACCUUGAAUGAGUUUUAUGAUCCUUUCCACUGUUUCAACUGACAACUCUUUCGUUGGAACCAUGUUUCCUUUCAAUUAGCCAAGUCCAACAGUAAUAGUAAAUAGUAAGGAGGAUACACACCUCUGUAUUGCCCAGUGAUGCUGCAGCUCGAAUGCCUCAUGUCAGGGGAUGUCUCUCUUCAGAAACCGGGUUGUAACAUCCUGAAAUACUGAGGUACUCCUUUUAUGUCACGUAUUAUGAUGGAUCUGUGUCGUCUGUUGUAGGUGAUGCACCUGAGGAUGUAAGAUGUAAACUGGGACAAAUCUCUAUGCCAGAUUUUUUUUUUUUUUUUUUAUUCGGGGAUAGAGUAGUUUUGUUAUCUGGGCACAUAGUAUUACCAAUGAGAAUAAGUCUUUCCUCAAAAAAUGGGCAUGGAAGGAAAUUAACAUUCAGACAGGUUGUAGACUUGUGCCUUUCUGAAAGCUAACUGUUGGAAGGCAGUAAUAUUUUGGAGGUAAUACUGUGAAUAAAUUUAGGUGGGGUGAAUUAAGGGACCUUAUUUGAUGUAGUAUAUGCCAACAAAUUAAGCUGAGGACUUUUCAGUCCCCAGUUUUGUUUUGUUUUUUGGAAGAAUUCUUCUGAAAAGAAUUAAUAAUAAUAAUAAUAAUAAUAAUAAUAAUAAUAAUAAUAAGCACAGCAGUGAUGUGGCAAGGAAAAACUCCUUAACACAAUAUUAAAAACAAACCAUUAGAGCAGGGGAUUUUUUUUUAUUGCAAAAGGCUUUCACUUUUCAAAAACCAAAUGAAUGAUACACGAUGAUGUUGAAGAUCUUAAUAAAGAACAAGAAGUUUAUUCCAGCAUAGCAGUGACAAAAUACAUGGCAUACUUUGGGUUCAUCGGAGUUGGUCAGAACCCAGAGCAAAUUAUGCU